GUCUAUGGCCAUGCCACCCUGAACAUGCCAAAUCUCGUCUGAUCUCAGAAGCUAAGCAGGGUCGGGCCUGGUUGGCACUUGAAUGGGAGACCACCUAAGAAUACCAGGUGCUGUAGGCG
This 119-nucleotide ribosomal RNA is filed under the name Pteropus alecto (black flying fox). Lineage: Eukaryota; Metazoa; Chordata; Mammalia; Chiroptera; Pteropodidae. The record is from RNAcentral.